UGGGGAAUCUUGGUCAAUGGGCGCAAGCCUGAACCAGCGAUGCCGCGUGAGUGAUGAAGGCCUUCGGGUUGUAAAGCUCUGUGGGGAGGGACGAAAAAGCGAAGUCGAAUAGGCUUCGUGUUGACGGUACCUCCUUAGCAAGCACCGGCUAACUCUGUGCCAGCAGCCGCGGUAAGACAGAGGGUGCAAACGUUGCUCGGAAUCACUGGGCGUAAAGGGCGUGUAGGCGGGAAGGAAAGUCAGAUGUGAAAUCCCUGGGCUCAACCCAGGAACUGCAUUUGAAACUCCCUUUCUUGAGUACCGGAGAGGAAGGUGGAAUACCUGGUGUAGAGGUGAAAUUCGUAGAUAUCAGGUGGAACACCAGUGGCGAAGGCGGCCUUCUGGACGGUAACUGACGCUGAGACGCGAAAGCGUGGGGAGCAAACAG
This 427-nucleotide ribosomal RNA is filed under the name uncultured bacterium. RNAcentral's name for it is "bacterial SSU rRNA". It matches the Rfam family "Bacterial small subunit ribosomal RNA", at positions 355 to 775 of the family's 1533-position model. The record is from RNAcentral.